AACUAGAAAGCAUGAGAAAAUUAUUUAUGAAAACACAUAGAACCAGUAGAGGAAAACAACAGAGAAAGAUUGAACGAGAUGGGUCCUGCGUCUGAGGGAGGAAUUUAUCAUAAACCCCGAACGGAGUAU
Hibiscus syriacus is the source of this 129-nucleotide long non-coding RNA. RefSeq lists it as uncharacterized. Lineage: Eukaryota; Viridiplantae; Streptophyta; Magnoliopsida; Malvales; Malvaceae. The transcript is spliced from 3 exons. The record is from RefSeq and is a predicted model, not a curated record.